RNAcentral lists this ribosomal RNA (468 nucleotides) under uncultured bacterium. RNAcentral's name for it is "partial 16S ribosomal RNA". It matches the Rfam family "Bacterial small subunit ribosomal RNA", at positions 28 to 507 of the family's 1533-position model. The record is from RNAcentral.
GACGAACGCUGGCGGCGUGCUUAACACAUGCAAGUCGAACGGAAAGGCCCUGCUUUUGUGGGGUGCUCGAGUGGCGAACGGGUGAGUAACACGUGAGUAACCUGCCCUUGACUUUGGGAUAACUUCAGGAAACUGGGGCUAAUACCGGAUAGGAGCCCCUGCUGCAUGGUGGGGGUUGGAAAGUUUCGGCGGUUGGGGAUGGACUCGCGGCUUAUCAGCUUGUUGGUGGGGUAGUGGCUUACCAAGGCUUUGACGGGUAGCCGGCCUGAGAGGGUGACCGGCCACAUUGGGACUGAGAUACGGCCCAGACUCCUACGGGAGGCAGCAGUGGGGAAUAUUGAACAAUGGGCGGAAGCCUGAUGCAGCAACGCCGCGUGCGGGAUGACGGCCUUCGGGUUGUAAACCGCUUUCGCCUGUGACGAAGCGUGAGUGACGGUAAUGGGUAAAGAAGCACCGGCUAACUACGUG